AGAAGCUGGCGUUUGUCAACAGAGUACUUCUCAUCUAGAUUCAGGCAGUGCUGGGCUCAACCGGAAUUGCUGGGUCUGAGGCCGCCACAAACUGCUGUCUGUUCUUUGUCCUCCGGCCCCACCUACUGGUCUUUCCAAGAACUACAACCUGGAGUCAAGUCAGCUCUCCCCACUGCUCUGCUAGGUAUUUUCUACCUGUUCAUCACCUGUUGACUCCAAUAGAAGAAGUCCAUGGAUUCCUGCAGCCUGCCACACGGAACUACGGGACCAAAAGAGAACUCUUUCAUCAAAAGCGACUAGUUCAUUGGAUCAUGGUGCAUGUAUACAGUGCAACUUUAACUGAGCUGUCAGGAAGGGUUAGGUUUAUGUUCAUGUGCUGAUCUGGAACAAUCUCAGACGUGCCCCGCUAAGUGAAAAAAGCCAGGUAUGGGAUGGUGUGGAGAGCAUGGGUGCUGUGUAUGUGAGAGGAGGAGAUGCUGUUGCAUCUUUGCCUGGGCCCCUUCUCAGGAGGGAGGCGCAAGAGGAGGAA
This is a long non-coding RNA of Artibeus jamaicensis (Jamaican fruit-eating bat), 529 nucleotides long. RefSeq lists it as uncharacterized. The transcript is spliced from 3 exons. NCBI's taxonomy places the organism in Eukaryota, Metazoa, Chordata, Mammalia, Chiroptera, Phyllostomidae. The record is from RefSeq and is a predicted model, not a curated record.